RNAcentral lists this transfer RNA (73 nucleotides) under Stegodyphus mimosarum. It matches the Rfam family "tRNA". From Rfam's summary of the family: Transfer RNA (tRNA) molecules are approximately 80 nucleotides in length. Lineage: Eukaryota; Metazoa; Arthropoda; Arachnida; Araneae; Eresidae. The record is from Rfam by way of RNAcentral.
GCCUUCGUGGUGUAGUGGUUCACACACUAGGCGCGUACUCUAGAGGUCCGUGGUUCGAGUCCCGGCAAGGGCA